This 253-nucleotide ribosomal RNA is filed under the name uncultured bacterium. RNAcentral's name for it is "partial 16S ribosomal RNA". It matches the Rfam family "Bacterial small subunit ribosomal RNA", at positions 524 to 776 of the family's 1533-position model. The record is from RNAcentral.
UACAGAGGUGGCAAGCGUUGUUCGGAAUUACUGGGCGUAAAGGGCGCGUAGGCGGCGUGUUAAGUCACUUGUGAAAUCUCUAAGCUUAACUUAGAACGGUCAAGUGAUACUGAUGUGCUAGAGUGCAGAAGGGGCAACCGGAAUUCUUGGUGUAGCGGUGAAAUGCGUAGAUAUCAAGAGGAACACCUGAGGUGAAGACGGGUUGCUGGGCUGACACUGACGCUGAGGCGCGAAAGCUAGGGUAGCAAACGGG